GACAGAGGGUGCGAACGUUGUUCGGAAUUACUGGGCGUAAAGCGCGUGUAGGCGGCAGCGUAAGUCGGGCGUGAAAUCCCACGGCUCAACCGUGGAACUGCUGGGCAUACUGCGGGUCUUGGGCCAACUAGGGGCAGCCGGAACAAGCGGUGGAGCGGUGAAAUGCGUAGAUAUCGCUUGGAACGCCAAUGGUGAAAACAGGUAGCUGGGGGUGUGCUGACACUGAGACACGAAAGCCAGGGGAGCAAACGGG
This 253-nucleotide ribosomal RNA is filed under the name uncultured bacterium. RNAcentral describes it as "partial 16S ribosomal RNA". It matches the Rfam family "Bacterial small subunit ribosomal RNA", at positions 524 to 776 of the family's 1533-position model. The record is from RNAcentral.